RNAcentral lists this ribosomal RNA (253 nucleotides) under uncultured bacterium. RNAcentral's name for it is "partial 16S ribosomal RNA". It matches the Rfam family "Bacterial small subunit ribosomal RNA", at positions 524 to 776 of the family's 1533-position model. The record is from RNAcentral.
UACAUGGGGUGCAAACGUUGCUCGGAAUUAUUGGGCGUAAAGCGCACGUAGGUGGUCUGUUAUGUCAGAUGUGAAAGCCCUCGGCUUAACUGAGGAAGUGCACCUGAAACUGGCAGGCUUGAGUACGAAAGAGGGUCGCGGAAUUCCCGGUGUAGAGGUGAAAUUCGUAGAUAUUCGCAAGAACACCAGUGGCGAAGGCGGCUCACUGGCCCGAUACUGACGCUGAGGCACGAAAGCGUGGGGAGCAAACAGG